CUGCUGCCUUCCGUAGGAGUCUGGUCCGUGUCUCAGUACCAGUGUGGGGGACCUUCCUCUCAGAACCCCUACGCAUCGUCGCCACGGUGGGCCGUUACCCCGCCGUCUAGCUAAUGCGCCGCAUGCCCAUCCUCUUUCGAUGAAUCUUUCCUCGAUCUCGGUUGCCCGAAACCGAUAUACGCGGGAUUAGCCUCCCUUUCGGAAGGUUGUCCCCCUGAAGAGGGCAGGUUGCAUACGUGUUACUCACCCGUGCGCCGGUCGCCGGA
Molecule: ribosomal RNA, 266 nt
Filed under: uncultured bacterium
Lineage: Bacteria
Description: partial 16S ribosomal RNA
Source: RNAcentral